GAUGAAGAACGCAGCGAAAUGCGAUACGUAAUGUGAAUUGCAGAAUUCAGUGAAUCAUCGAAUCUUUGAACGCACCUUGCGCCCUUUGGCCAUUCCGAAGGGCAUGCCUGUUUGAGUAUCAUGAACACCUCAACUCUUCAUGGUUUUCCGUGAUGAGCUUGGACUUUGGGGGUCUUGCUGGCCUAUGGUCAGCUCCUCUAAAAUAAAUCAGCUUGCCAGUGUUUGGUGGGUAUCACAGGUGUGAUAACUAUCUACGCUUGUGGUUUUCCACCAGGUAACCUUCAGCAGUGGAGGUUCGCUGGAGCUCACAGAUGUGUCUCUCCUCAGUGAGGACAGCUCUUUGAAUGUUUGAUCUCAAAUCAGGUAGGACUACCCGCUGAACUUAAGCAUAUCAAUAAGCGGAGGA
RNAcentral lists this unclassified non-coding RNA (406 nucleotides) under soil metagenome. Its description in RNAcentral is "partial contains 5.8S ribosomal RNA, internal transcribed spacer 2, and large subunit ribosomal RNA". The stretch from base 1 to 121 matches the Rfam family "5.8S ribosomal RNA", at positions 35 to 154 of the family's 154-position model. The record is from RNAcentral.